Strigops habroptila (Kakapo) is the source of this 1160-nucleotide long non-coding RNA. RefSeq lists it as uncharacterized. Lineage: Eukaryota; Metazoa; Chordata; Aves; Psittaciformes; Psittacidae. The transcript has 5 exons. The record is from RefSeq and is a predicted model, not a curated record.
CAUCGUGUUUCUUAUGUCAGUUCCACAACCUCGUUUAUAAAUCAGUUCGUUGACACAAGGCUCCCGCCGCACUGUCGCCUGGUCUCCGCAGGAGGUGACGAGGAGCUUUCGGUAACCGUAGGUGUGGUGAAAGGAGGAAGUUACCAGCCAAGAAAUGAAGACCAGUCUUUAGUUAUACAACUAAAGCUUCUUCUGAAAGAGUGAUGAUCCAGUGAGGAGCUGAACUAUUACAGUUCCCAGUGGCAUAGCUGUUUCUUUGGUCCAUGCUCAAGUUCUGCCAAUGGUGUGAAGGAAUUGGUCCAACAGUGAAACAUGCAAGAUGAACAGAAGGCUUUUACCUAUUGCAAAAGACAUGUCAGAAUCAGAGACAAAAUGAGAGGAGGAAAUCAAGAGGGCCUUGCCUUUCUUCUCAGCACAAAAAGAGGUGAGAAAUCCUUCCUCUUUCUGCAUACAGAGCUCAGGUGUGGCUGUCCUGUAUCAACAGUAGAAGUCAGGUGCAACACAGAGCUGCUCAUGACACAGUAAGGAGGUAUAGUUUAACUGCGAUUGCAUUUUCCUCCCUCAUAUUGUUUGUUCUCUGUACUGCUGUAUUGGUGCAGUCACACAGAGUGCAUGUUAUUUCUGCUAGAUACCAUUUGGGCAAGAACUGGGAGUUCUAGAUCUCUGGAAAUCCCAGCAUGAGCUCAAUAAAAUUUUUCAGUUUUGAAAGCGGCAUAUGGUUUGAGCCCAUUUGAGUUCAUAGGAAUCUCUCAAGUGAGCACUGCUCAGGACAGGCUCAAAUACAACUUUGCAGCCAUUCUAUUUGCUCCUUGACAAUACCACUGACUAAGUCUCCUGUGAUUUUGUGCUGUUUUUUCUGUGUGAUCAGAGCCAAUCCCAUCCCUAGGGAUCUUUAUAUCCACAGCCAGUCCUUUCUUUCUAUUGUUAGUUGACGAGGCUUCCUGCUUUGAGGCUGCCAUCUGUAUGUGACUGUAAGUAGCUCAAGAAAUGGCUGUAAGGAAAGACACAGCAAUGUUUGGGCACAGGGUAAAGGCAAAUGUCAGCAAGGAACAAGUUUGUAAUUAUUAGCCUGUCUAAUAAAGGUUAUUCCAAGCAAAGAGGGGUUGGGGCUCUUGUAUCUGAGAAUCACAGUUCUGCAAAAUCAUUCCCUCAAGCCCAAA